Molecule: ribosomal RNA, 497 nt
Filed under: uncultured bacterium
Lineage: Bacteria
Description: partial 16S ribosomal RNA
Rfam family: Bacterial small subunit ribosomal RNA
Source: RNAcentral
GAUGAACGCUGGCGGCGUGCCUAAUACAUGCAAGUCGAGCGAACAGACGAGGAUCUUGCUCCUCUGACGUUAGCGGCGGACGGGUGAGUAACACGUGGCUAACCUACCUAUAAGACUGGGAUAACUUCGGGAAACCGGAGCUAAUACCGGAUAAUAUAUUGAACCGCAUGGUUCAAUAGUGAAAGACGGUUUUGCUGUCACUUAUAGAUGGAUCCGCGCCGCAUUAGCUAGUUGGUAAGGUAACGGCUUACCAAGGCAACGAUGCGUAGCCGACCUGAGAGGGUGAUCGGCCACACUGGAACUGAGACACGGUCCAGGCUCCUACGGGAGGCAGCAGUAGGGAAUCUUCCGCAAUGGGCGAAAGCUUGACGGAGCAACGCCGCGUGAGUGAUGAAGGUCUUCGGAUCGUAAAACUCUGUUAUUAGGGAAGACCAAAUGUGUAAGUAACUAUGCACGGCUUGACGGUACCUAAUCAGAAAGCCACGGCUAACUACGUG